RNAcentral lists this ribosomal RNA (195 nucleotides) under Triticum aestivum (bread wheat). RNAcentral describes it as "partial small subunit ribosomal RNA". Lineage: Eukaryota; Viridiplantae; Streptophyta; Magnoliopsida; Poales; Poaceae. The record is from RNAcentral.
AUGUUUGGUGUGCCAUCUCUAUGGAUGCAACAAUCGGAAUGGAUCAGACCAAGACCAGGUUUUGGGAAAGUACUACCGACCAGUACAACAACUCCGUGGACGUGCGAUCAAGCCGUACUCAAGGUUCUCUUGGGCAUUGCUGGAGCACCAUUCAUGACCAAUGCAACCGAUGGUCCGGUUGUAUCGACCAAGUGA